Molecule: long non-coding RNA, 630 nt
Organism: Sorghum bicolor (sorghum)
Lineage: Eukaryota; Viridiplantae; Streptophyta; Magnoliopsida; Poales; Poaceae
Exons: 2
Source: RefSeq, a predicted model, not a curated record
AGCUGCUUCACCAUCGAUGUGCUGGACAUGUCAUAAACCUUAUUGUGAAAGAUGGGCUCAAGUUUGUUGAACCGAUUGUUGACAACAUCCGUGAAAGCAUCAAGUACCUUCGUUCUUCAACUUCCCGGAAACAAAUGUUUAGAGAAAUUGUUGCACGAGAAGGCAUUACAUGCAAGAAAAAGCCAUCACUGGAUGUGAUCACACGUUGGAACUCAACAUAUUUGAUGCUUAAAACAGCCCUAAAAUUUAGAAAAGCAUUUGAGGUGCUAAAAUCAGAGGACCAAAAAUACACAUACUUACCCUCCCCUGAAGAAUGGAAGAGUAUUGGUGUGAAAAAAGUUUUCUACUGCAGCAGUUGAUGAUUUCAUUAUGGAAGAGAAUGAACCAUGAAAUUCACAGGAGUGUUUCAUCUUGACGCCAGAGAAGCAACAAGAGGUAGCAGAAUAGUGACAAUGUAUUACUUUAGUAGCUUAUGAUGAUGCUAUUAGCUGACUUUGGUAUGGUUUUUUGUUAGCAUCUCUUGAAAUUGGAUUAGCCUAUUGGAGACAUGGAAAUUUGGUUUCCUGUUUCAUGGCUCUGUGAAGAUUUUUAUGUGCAAUUAAUUCUUUCAAAUAAAAUAGGCUUUUGUUA